GUCUUUGUAGUAUAACAAAAUACCCCGGUCUUGUAAACCGGAAAAGGAGAACCCCACCCUCCCCAAGACU
This is a non-coding RNA of Globicephala melas (long-finned pilot whale), 70 nucleotides long. NCBI's taxonomy places the organism in Eukaryota, Metazoa, Chordata, Mammalia, Artiodactyla, Delphinidae. The record is from the annotation of a RefSeq genome assembly.